GAUAAGUGCGGUGGAUUUAGAAUCUAUUUAUGUGGUUUAGUUAAUUACACAUGUAGUA
Molecule: transfer RNA, 58 nt
Filed under: Epicalotermes aethiopicus
Lineage: Eukaryota; Metazoa; Arthropoda; Insecta; Blattodea; Kalotermitidae
Description: partial tRNA-Leu
Source: RNAcentral